RNAcentral lists this non-coding RNA (24 nucleotides) under Arabidopsis thaliana (thale cress). The record is from RNAcentral. Lineage: Eukaryota; Viridiplantae; Streptophyta; Magnoliopsida; Brassicales; Brassicaceae.
AGACCACACCCAAAACCGCACUGC